UAUUGGUCAAUGGGCGGGAGCCUGAACCAGCCAAGUCGCGUGAGGGAAGACGGUCCUACGGAUUGUAAACCUCUUUUGCCGGGGAGCAACGGGGUCCUUGCGAGGGCCCAAUGAGAGUACCCUGAGAAAAAGCAUUUGCUAACUCCGUGCCAGCACCCGCGGUAAUACGGAGGAUGCGAGCGUUAUCCGGAUUUAUUGGGUUUAAAGGGUGCGUAGGCGGGCUGUUAAGUCAGCGGUCAAAUGUCGGGGCUCAACCCCGGCCUGCCGUUGAAACUGGCGGCCUCGAGUGGGCGAGAAGUAUGCGGAAUGCGUGGUGUAGCGGUGAAAUGCAUAGAUAUCACGCAGAACACCGAUUGCGAAGGCAGCAUACCGGCGCCCUACUGACGCUGAGGAACGAAGGCGUGGGUAUCGAACAGG
This 417-nucleotide ribosomal RNA is filed under the name uncultured bacterium. Its description in RNAcentral is "bacterial SSU rRNA". It matches the Rfam family "Bacterial small subunit ribosomal RNA", at positions 362 to 776 of the family's 1533-position model. The record is from RNAcentral.